GUGCCAGCAGCCGCGGUAAUACCGGCAGCCCGAGUGAUGGCCGAUCUUAUUGGGCCUAAAGCGUCCGUAGCUGGCUACGCAAGUCCGUCGGGAAAUCCACUCGCCCAACGAGUGGGCGUCCGACGGAAACUGCAUAGCUUGGGACCGGAAGGCUCGAAGGGUACGUUCGGGGUAGGAGUGAAAUCCCAUAAUCCCGUCCGGACCACCGAUGGCGAAAGCACUUCGAGAAAACGGAUCCGACAGUGAGGGACGAAAGCUAAGAUCGCGAACCGGAUUAGAUACCCGUGUACC
RNAcentral lists this ribosomal RNA (291 nucleotides) under uncultured bacterium. RNAcentral's name for it is "partial 16S ribosomal RNA". It matches the Rfam family "Archaeal small subunit ribosomal RNA", at positions 455 to 745 of the family's 1478-position model. The record is from RNAcentral.